GGUUCCAUAGUGUAGUGGUUAGCACAUUUGCUUUACACGCAGAAGGUCCUGGGUUUGCGCCCUAGUGGAGGCA
Molecule: non-coding RNA, 73 nt
Organism: Pteropus alecto (black flying fox)
Lineage: Eukaryota; Metazoa; Chordata; Mammalia; Chiroptera; Pteropodidae
Source: Rfam